This 472-nucleotide ribosomal RNA is filed under the name uncultured bacterium. RNAcentral describes it as "bacterial SSU rRNA". It matches the Rfam family "Bacterial small subunit ribosomal RNA", at positions 329 to 793 of the family's 1533-position model. The record is from RNAcentral.
GCAGAGCAUCCUACGGGAGGCAGCAGUGGGGAAUAUUGCACAAUGGGCGCAAGCCUGAUGCAGCCAUGCCGCGUGUAUGAAGAAGGCCUUCGGGUUGUAAAGUACUUUCAGCAGUGAGGAAGGUGGAUAUGUUAAUAGCAUAUUCAUUUGACGUUAGCUGCAGAAGAAGCACCGGCUAACUCCGUGCCAGCAGCCGCGGUAAUACGGAGGGUGCGAGCGUUAAUCGGAAUUACUGGGCGUAAAGCGCAUGCAGGUGGUUUGUUAAGUCAGAUGUGAAAGCCCGGGGCUCAACCUCGGAAUUGCAUUUGAAACUGGACAAACUAGAGUACUGUAGAGGGGGUAGAAUUUCAGGUGUAGCGGUGAAAUGCGUAGAGAUCUGAAGGAAUACCGGUGGCGAAGGCGGCCCCCUGGACAGAUACUGACACUCAGAUGCGAAAGCGUGGGGAGCAAACAGGAUUAGAUACCCUGGUAG